UGUAUAGCAAUAGCUAAUUGCACUAAAAAUUUUUAGUGUAAAAUCGACUAUGUCGAAUAAAAUUCUGGGUAGAUUUUUGAUAAUGACAUUAUCUGUCCAUAAGUCUUGACCAAAUUACGUGCCAGCAGUCGCGGUAAUACGUAGAAGACAAGUGUUAUUCAUCUUUAAUAGGUUUAAAGGGUACUUAGACGGGAAAUAAAGCCUCAAAAAGGGACUAGUUUUCUAGAGUUUUAUGUGAAGAAGUAUUAAAGUACUAUUGGUGGAGAGAUGAAAUUCAGUUAUACCUUAAUGGCACGGGUUAAGGCGAAGGCAUCUUCUUAUGUAAAAACUGACGUUGAAGGACGAAGGCUUUGUGUCUCGAACAGGAUUAGAUACCCUAGUAGUCUAAGCAGACAAUGAUGAAUGUCAUAGAUUAGAUGUAAUUUGAUCUAUAAAUGAAAGUGUAAGCAUUCCACCUCAAGAGUAAUUUGGCAACAUUGGAACUGAAAUCAUUAGACCGUUUCUGAAACCAGUAGUGAAGUAUGUUGUUUAAUUUGAUAAUCCGCAAAGAACCUUACCACAACUUGAAUAGAUAUAUUUUAUCAUACAAGCGUUGCACGGCUGUCUUCAGUUAAUGUCGUGAGACUAUGGUUAGUUCCAUUAAAUUAACGUAAACCCUUACUUUAUUUUAAAAUAAAGUAGUUCACCGCUAGAUU
RNAcentral lists this ribosomal RNA (695 nucleotides) under Brownliella aequata. RNAcentral's name for it is "mitochondrial SSU rRNA". It matches the Rfam family "Bacterial small subunit ribosomal RNA", at positions 385 to 1160 of the family's 1533-position model. RNAcentral also lists the same sequence under 1 other name. The record is from RNAcentral. Lineage: Eukaryota; Fungi; Ascomycota; Lecanoromycetes; Teloschistales; Teloschistaceae.